RNAcentral lists this long non-coding RNA (1602 nucleotides) under Struthio camelus australis. RNAcentral describes it as "lncRNA (ENSSCUG00000007044.1)". The record is from RNAcentral. Lineage: Eukaryota; Metazoa; Chordata; Aves; Struthioniformes; Struthionidae.
CUGAAAAACACUUCUACCAAGUGAAGAAAAUCCUGCAGAGAGCGUAUAGCCCUCCUGCUUGCUAUCUUUUCUGCUUGUCUUACAUCUUCUGACCUUGUCUUGGCGUGUUCCCAGCACAAUCUGGAGUUGCCUGUUAGCCCCAGUUCGCCCCAUGCCCAGCACUGUGUGCCUGCAGUGAGCACUUCCUCAGCAGCAGUUUCAGGCCCAUCUCUAGGCUUUUCCCAUCUCUGGGAUCUCAGGGAUUUCCCCAUCUCUGCAAAAGCUCUGAGUUGCCUUUAACAAGCUCUUGUCAGCAAGAGGUACUGUUGCCAAAUGAUAUUCCAGGCCUAAACUAAAAAUCCAGCUCUGGCAUUUACAUUUUGCAAAUGAUUUUUCAUCAGUGAUUAAGCCACUCCUGCUGAUGCUGUGUAAGACCAUGCUGCUGGACCACUGGCGGGACCACAGAGGAUGGGUCGCAUUGUGGUGCCCCACCCUGAUGUCUCCCAGCGUUUGCAAACACCCUGGGUCCAGCAUGGCCCAUACAGCAUUGUACGCCUUCCAGCCCAGGGAGAGGAGAUGUUGGAAGAGGACUGAGAGGUGUCUGCAAAGCCAGCUACAGCCUCAUAGGUUGCUGUAAGGGCCGAGUGCAGCGCCACAGUGACACAGGCUCAGCCACGUGACUAUUGGUCAGCAUGCCCUGUUGAUGCUCCUUUUCCCACAGAACGGUCUGGCUAGCUUCCAUCGCCUAUCUCCUCGACAUUCUUCCCCAUUUUCCCAUGCAGCUCACAUUAAGAAAAAAAAAAAAAGACGACGCCUCCCCAUAAACCCGUACGCGAAACACAGCAUGUGAGGCACCGGCCUACAAUCUCCUACAAUCUCCACUGUGCGCUAGCAAACCCCAGUGACUUCUUGGCUCUCCUGGUCCUCCUUUCCAAACCUGAGGGACACAAACAGGCCAUAUGUAACAACAUGGCACAGGUCACAACUUGUCCUGCAUACAGGGCUUGUCACCUGCAACUCCAAGUGCUCGCAGCCUGAAAUGCCCUCAGUCUGAUGGAUGCCAUACUGUUCCUAUAAUGACUUUCUUUAAAUAAGUUGGCUCAAUAGUAUAAUCACAGCAAUGGUGAAGAGUUGAGCCGGUAUUGGAUAUUCAUGGAAGGCAAGGUUUUCAGUCAGGUUCCAUCAACAUGAUAUUUUGCAAUAGGCACGUGCUGAUCCAGCUGAGAGCGCAGAGAAAACACCACCAUUUGGAUCAAUUCUGUGGAAACAGCUCCAAUUUUCUGUUUUAAUCUCUGAAUUGCUGCACUGAAAUCCACUGAGGUAAUCUGUGUUUGACCAAAAAAUGUUGUUGAAGGGGAAAAAAAGCCUACAGGCUGUUUUUUUGCGGGAAAAGGAAUAUGAUCUGUCAAAAGGAUUAUUUUUUACAAAUUAUUUGUCUGGUUUUAAUGCUGAACAAGAAUUACAUUUUUCUUCCUGACAUCUCAUCACAAACUGAGUGCUGAACUGAGGUGCAGUUAAGUGAACUGGAGCAACUGAGCUACUGCUGUCCUGGUUUAUCAGCUCUCAUUUCUUAUACUCCUAGCAGAAGAAGAGAAAUAAAAUAAAAUAAAAUAAAAAACCCCA